GAGGCCGCAAAUUACAUCAAAUAAUGUCAAAACUACAUUUUGUACCUCGAAUCAAACUUAUGUAUGUUUAAAUCUUCCAACUUCUAAAACUCGUGCCGAAACAUAUCAAAUUAAUUUCGAUUGACCUUAAGUUUUUUACAUAAGUCAUAAAUAACAUAAUGGACCUACUUCAAUUUCCAUAAUUCAAAUCCGAACCCGAUAUCAAUAAAGUCAACUCCUGGUCAAAUCUCUCAACCUUCCAAAAGUUCAACUUUCCAAUUUUUUCCAAAAUGCAUCAAAUAAUCCUACGGACCUCUAAAUAUGGACACAAGUCUAAGUACAAUAUCACCAUAUGAAGCUAUCGGAAUCCUCAUAACAUCAUUCCAAAGUCGUCUAUACAAAAGUCAAACCCCGAUCAAUUCUUACCGCUUAAACUUCCAAAACUAAAAUUGUUCCUCCAAAUUGAUAUCGAAUCAUCCAAAACCAAAAUCGACCAGACACGCAAGUCGUAAUACAUUAUACAAAGCUGUUUGAGACCUUAAGCCACCGAACGGGAUACUAAUCCUCAACACCGCCAGUCAAGUCGUUACAUUUACCUUUCCAAAGACAAAAGUAAAAGCAAUUAUUUAACUUGUUCAAAUUGAGCAUAACAAGAUAGUAGACUAUAUCUUUUGUAUGCAAAAUGAUUAAUGUUUACAGUAGCUGUUAAUGCUGCUAUUUAUGGCCCUAUUUAGGGGGACAAGAUCCAAAAAUCAAGCUCAUCUUGAAUGAGAAUAAAAUCAUCAUCGAUGAUGCAUAACUAAUUGCUUUAGAUGCAAAUAUUCUCUGUAACGUCUGCCCAAUGAAUACUACCCGAUGACAAGAAUGCAAAUAUUUGCUAUCAAUUAUUCUGUCUUCAAGAGCUCGUUUACAAUCGGUGAAACUAUGUGAUGACUCAUAUUACACCUUGUGGAUCCCAUUAUUCUUGCAAAAUCAGGUUUUAAUAUGUGAUAACUCUUUUGAUUGGGAGAUACGGUGUUAAAAGAAGAAGAGGCACCACCUAACAGUUUUUAAGGUGCAUUAGGGCACCUAUUAUGCAGAUAACUCUAUUUGACUAGUCGUGCCACCAAAGAUCAGAUAAGGGAUCAAAUUACCUCAAAGAAAAGGUGUUAGGCACUCUUCGAGGUCUACAAAUAUGGGCCCCGAUCGAACUUAAGACUAUGUAUAUUAUAAUUAGGCAAGAUGAUAAACAAAGAGAAUAAGGGUCAAAAAGUUUUGUUAUAACACAAUGAGAAAUGAUAUAAAAUCAUAAGUAUUACAAGGAUAUAACUAUAUCUAUAUUAGCUGACUAAGUGUAUAAAGAAAAGGGGGUCCCAAGUUUUUUAGCCUAAAGGAUCAUCCCGUACAAUAUAAAUAAUACUUCGAACCUUUCUUGAGAUAGGGUUACUCAUAUUAUUCAGCGGGCACAAACUAUCAUCUCCUGCUACCCAAUUACUAUGUUAAAGUUGUUUAGUUAAAGGAGCUCUAAUUCAAUUCUAAGUCAUGCCUUAUGUGCGCGCUACCCGUCCCGUGCCUAUGGUCCAAGAGGCAUUGGACCUCAAUUUGGGUGGUUCUAGACUUUACUUAGGCUACUCAAAAUGAUAAAACUAGUUUCUAAAUAACUACACAGUUUAAGAGUAUUUGGUACUGCUAUGCCGAUCAUUGAGAUUAUAGAUUAUAAGCGCACAAGCAGUGCCAAUUAUGGUGAACCAAUGAGUAUUCAGAUUAUAGGCAUUACAUAAUCCUAUAGGUAUAAUCUUUAAAUGAGGCAAUGGAACCAUUUAAAACCUUGGAGUAAUUACUCGCGUUUGAUAUUAUCAUACUUCUAGGAGAAUAAAAACAUCCUAUGGAGGGGAUAUCUAAGAGUUGGCAAUUGAAACUGGUUCUAUAACACUUCGUCCCUAUAGGCAUGUUUUCAAGGCGAGCAAUAGAUAUAACAGUAUCUAAUUAAUCAAUUAAGUCCUAUGGAUAUGAUAUCUAGAUGAGGAUCAGUAACACAAAGUAAAUAUAAUCCGAUAGGCAUGUUAUCUAAUAAAUAAACUGCAACUGCACAAAUUGAAGGAUAGUUAUUGACAUUUGUUCCUUACAAGCAUGUUGUCUAGUAACACAUAGCAGUAAACACAAGAACAAAUAAAGUACGCAGAGCUCAUGCUUUGAUAGUAAGCAAGUUGAGUAAGUGCGUGAUUCCCCUAAUGACUCUACUAGUGUACAUGGAAACAAAAUAAGAUAUAUGGAGGGUUGGAUAAAAUUACAAUUAAGUCAUCUAAAUCCUAUGGGAAUAUUUUCUACCAUUUCAUGCAAAACGUUAGAAUAUACUCGUUCCCCCAAUUUCACUAACACCUCAAUUGUAUAUUACAAAAUUAUUACAGGCCGGAUAAUGAAUAUAAGUAUAACUAUUACACUAUAAACAACAAUAUGCCUAAAAGUAGGCCCAAAAGGAGAAACCCAGUAUUGCCAGGGCCUUCAAUAAACUCAAUUUCCACAAAUAGCAUGCGCAGGUCCAAACAUUCAUCACAACCCAAAAGUCAUAGAGGAACUCAUGCUAGACCAAACAGUUACAUAUGACCCUAAUAAAUUAUAAAAUUACACGAAAAUCAUUGAAGCAACCCAAUUUGUAGAUUAAACAAAUAACAUGAAGGAGAAAAUCUAAGUGUCAGAGACAACUUAAUUUCCAACAGCAAAGAAAGUGGCCAAAGGACUCUAAAUCCUAGUUUCUCAGAGUUCACAAGAGUCUCAAAUGGAUCCCGAAUAGUACUCACACUAGGGAUUUCAAUUAGAGAGAUUUUUUAUGGCCAUGCUUUUUAGCCGGCCAAGAGUGAUAGAUUCAGAAUAAUAUAGAUAACGGAUGAGAGUGACAAAACAAUGAUUAAGUGAUAGAAUUUUAAGAGGUACACUGUUAUCUUUGAAGCAGACAUAGCAGAGUUGCUUAAACACAGAACAUCCAGUUAAUAGAAUCAACAAGACUUAUAGAAAAUGUUAAUAUUGACAUUAUAGGUUCAAACACUUAGCAAGACAUAGCAUAUUGGGAAGACGACAUAUGGAGAGAGUUAGGGGAAUCAGGUUUUCUAAGGUUAUAAGAUAAACAUCAGAGUACAUAAUGUUAGAUAGAGUAACCAAUUAAAUGAUUUAAAGCAAUGUUAGUUAGAGUAACCGCUUAAAUGAUUUAAUGCCUAGAGAUCUAGGCCGGGUUAAGUGUCCAUCACUACGCCAACUUACAUAAUGAAGCAACCAAUACUAUAAAAAAAAAAGUUAGGAUAACUAUUCCAAAGGUCUCAAAUAACCACUGAUGGAUACAUGAUUUAGCAUAUCAAAGAUAUAAUAAAGUGUCAAAACUGGCAUGGGAGCAGAUCAGGAUUAAUAUGAAAUCCCUAACAGAGAUUAGAGUACAUUCUAAGCAUGACCUAGUCAUUACAAUGAAUCAGAACAAAGCAGGGAAGCAAACUCAUGCCAAGUAGCAAAUGUAACCAUUCAGGUACCAACACACUUGGCUAAACGCUUAAGAGAGUCCAAAUUAUUCAAGUUAAGCAUGUACAAUAAACAUGUCUCUAAACUGAAAAUUUUAAGUAGAAUCAAAUGCUAAAGAAGUUCAGAUCAUGAAACAAAUUCAGUGCUAACAAAGUUGCAUACAGCGAUGAUCUAGAAACUCAUUAAGUCACGAAAUUUCAGAGGCAUGAAUGUGCAAGACAUGACCACAUAAGAAUGAAAUUGCAAAAGCAAAGGAACUCACUUGUUGUCAAUUGAUAAAUAAACGAAUAAGAAAUAAUAAACUCCACGAUACUCUUAAUGUCAACAAAGAGCAAUAGAACCUACAAUCUUAGUGUAUCAGAGUUCCCAAGGGUUUCAAAUAAACCCCGAAUAGUGCUCGCACUAAGAAAGGUUGAAUAAUCAAAUUCUGAUGGCCUAGGCUUUCAGCCGGCCAAGAGCCAAAGUAUAAAACAAGAGAAUGAGAUAAUAAUAGAGUGAUUUUGAGUUUUGGUGAAUUCGGUGAUUAAUCCUUUUCAAAUGUAAAUAGGGGGAUUUAUAUAAUCAUAGAAAUAAAGCAAAUGAACAAGGAAACACUGUAAAAUCAAACAUAAAUAAUGAAAUAAUCAUAUGUAUAAUCAAUUAAAAAUCAGAUUAAGAAAAAAUUAGGUAAACCCUAGUUAAUAAAAAUCCAAUAUUCGACCAAUGAUUUUGGUGAAUCGGCUUCAUAUCGCCUUGCCAUGAACAUACAUAGAUAGAAUACCGUCUAUAUCUUGAAGAUUGAAGAUGAUUUCAACAUAAUUCCAGGUCUGGUACUUGCCAAAAAUGGGCAAGUACUAAGUAAUACCAAAAUCUUGUACGCAUUAUGGAGAUAGAGCAUAUAUGGAAGGAAAAUCAUCAGAGGAUUCCCCAUCAAGGUCGGAAUCGGAGAUAAUUACGGGGGUGACGGUUAGGGUUUAUGAAGGAAAAGAGAGUAACAGACAAAAUAGAGGCGACUGUCUUUAAGAAAUGGGAUUCGGGUUAGGUUAUGGGGAUGUAAGGAAAGGGAGUGCGUUGUUGUGAGCUGUUGAUUGCUUUUGACCAACAAUUAAGAUUAAAAAUGAGUUUGGUCGGGUUUUUUGGACUGGGCAAG
RNAcentral lists this long non-coding RNA (4591 nucleotides) under Nicotiana benthamiana. Its description in RNAcentral is "long non-coding RNA (NBEN_LNC042618)". The record is from RNAcentral. Lineage: Eukaryota; Viridiplantae; Streptophyta; Magnoliopsida; Solanales; Solanaceae.